Molecule: long non-coding RNA, 782 nt
Organism: Cebus imitator (Panamanian white-faced capuchin)
Lineage: Eukaryota; Metazoa; Chordata; Mammalia; Primates; Cebidae
Exons: 3
Source: RefSeq, a predicted model, not a curated record
AUUAUAUUGGUUAUAGUGAUUUGUGAUCAGUGAUCUUUAAUGUUACUCUUGUAAUUGUUUUGGGGCAGCAGGAACCAUACCUAUAUAAAAUGGCAGACUUAAUUAAUAAAUGUUUAUGUUCUGACUGUUUUAUCAACCAUUGUUUUUCCUGUUUUCAGGCCUCCCCAUUUCCUGAGACACAAAUAUUGAAUUUAGGCCAGUUAGUAACUCUAUAGUGGCCUGUAAGUGUUCAAGUGAAUGGCAGAGUUGCACGUCUCUCACUUUAAAUCAAAAGCUAAAAAUGAUUAGGCUUAGGGAAGAACGCAUGCUGAAAACCAAGACAGGCUGAUAGGCCUUUUGCUCCAGUUAACCAUGUUGUCAAUGCAAAGGAAAAGUUCUUGAAGAAAAUUAAAAGUGUGUUACUCUGUUGAACACAAGAAUGUGAUCUGGAACUAAGCCUGCAAUAUCUCUGAGUUUGCAUUAUACAAGACUGAAUGGUGCUUGGCAGAGAGGAAUUUUAAGAAUUUGGAAGUAAAGAGGUAAGUGGAACUAGAUUUUAUAGAUAGGAAACUUCCCCUUCCCAGUCUUUGCCCAUUAAAAAAAAUAAAGACACCUCCACUAAAAGAUUCAUAGAUGUUGGGAAAACAGAAUUGGGGGGAACUUUUGAUUUUCUUCUUUAGAUGUGAGGUGGGUUGAGGAGGAGUAGUCAAGAAACUGGUAGAUGACUGUACAGUAGAUAACAUGUAAUGUCAUUUUAAAGUUUGUGUUUUUCUUAAGCUUGCUUUAGUAAGCAGGAAACACUU